RNAcentral lists this ribosomal RNA (554 nucleotides) under Ascomycota sp. Its description in RNAcentral is "eukaryotic LSU rRNA". The stretch from base 169 to 322 matches the Rfam family "5.8S ribosomal RNA". Lineage: Eukaryota; Fungi; Ascomycota. The record is from RNAcentral.
CAGCGGAGGGAUCAUUACAGAGUGUAAAAACUCCCAAACCCUUUGUGAACAUACCACUGUUGCCUCGGCGGAGCUGCCCGGUAGCUACCCUGUAGCUACCCUGCAGCCGCCGGCGGACCAUCAAACUCUGAUUAUAUAGAUAUCUGAGCGUACUUUUAAAUAAGUCAAAACUUUCAACAACGGAUCUCUUGGUUCUGGCAUCGAUGAAGAACGCAGCGAAAUGCGAUAAGUAAUGUGAAUUGCAGAAUUCAGUGAAUCAUCGAAUCUUUGAACGCACAUUGCGCCCAUUAGUACUCUAGUGGGCAUGCCUGUUCGAGCGUCAUUACGACCCUUAAGCCUAGCUUAGUAUUGGGAACCUACGUGCGGCAGCUACCCUGUAGCUACCCUGUAGCUCCUUAAAGACAACGGCGGAGACGUGGAGUCCUCUGAGCUUAGUAACUUUUCUAGCUUCUGAAGGCGCCGCGGCCCCUGCCGUAAAACCCCCAACUCUUUAGUGGUUGACCUCGGAUCAGGUAGGAAUACCCGCUGAACUUAAGCAUAUCAAUAAGCGGAGG